GAAUCCAGGGGAAAAUAAGAGUUGAAAUUCUUGAAUGAAUCAGGACAGAUGAUCAGAAUUACCUGGAGACAAAACUAUCCACUUUCAGUUUUCAAUAAUCCCACCUGGCUGUCUAUGCUCCCCAGAGUCAUUGAAAUACUGUUCCAUGCUUUAAUUUAAUUGUUUGGAUAUGGUCAUAAGCUUUGUAAUAAACUCUCUAAUUUAAAUAGAUCAAUAAGAUCAUAGCCUGCAGAUGAAAAUAGGGUGAUGAGAGUUUGGCCUUUGACAUAGCAAAGCUCUGUUUAUGGAGACACUGCUUAAUGGUUCAGAGCGCAGACUCAGGGCUUAACUAUCUGGAUUUGAAUUCCAACUGUCCCCUCUUACCACCACCAAAUUUCUACCAGUAUGAUCUUCACUAAGUUGACAUCAACAGUCUGCACUUUGGUUUCUUCAUCAGUGAAGAUAAUAAUCUACCCAACCCUAGGGUUUUGUAUGGUUUAAGUGAGACAAUGUGUCUAGAGGGUUUAUCAUAAACAAUAUGAAAAGCCCCACCUUUCAAAAAAUUUGAUGUUAUUUGGAUCCUUUUGACUGUACUAUUUUUAACUUAGCUGAUGAAUGAUAUUCACAUUCGAGAUGCUUAUCCCAUUUAGGUAUUAUUUGAAGAGCUUGGAAAAGCAGUAAAUGAUGGCUUAUA
Molecule: long non-coding RNA, 673 nt
Filed under: Homo sapiens (human)
Lineage: Eukaryota; Metazoa; Chordata; Mammalia; Primates; Hominidae
Description: non-protein coding lnc-TNFAIP3-10:1
Source: RNAcentral